RNAcentral lists this ribosomal RNA (490 nucleotides) under uncultured bacterium. Its description in RNAcentral is "partial 16S ribosomal RNA". It matches the Rfam family "Bacterial small subunit ribosomal RNA", at positions 30 to 507 of the family's 1533-position model. The record is from RNAcentral.
AUUGAACGCUGGCGGCAGGCCCAACACAUGCAAGUCGAACGGUAACAGGAAGCAGCUUGCUGCUUUGCUGACGAGUGGCGGACGGGUGAGUAAUGUCUGGGAAACUGCCUGAUGGAGGGGGAUAACUACUGGAAACGGUAGCUAAUACCGCAUAACGUCGCAAGACCAAAGAGGGGGACCUUCGGGCCUCUUGCCAUCGGAUGUGCCCAGAUGGGAUUAGCUAGUAGGUGGGGUAACGGCUCACCUAGGCGACGAUCCCUAGCUGGUCUGAGAGGAUGACCAGCCACACUGGAACUGAGACACGGUCCAGACUCCUACGGGAGGCAGCAGUGGUGAAUAUUGCACAAUGGGCGCAAGCCUGAUGCAGCCAUGCCGCGUGUAUGAAGAAGACCUUCGGGUUGUAAAGUACUUUCAGCGGGGAGGAAGGGAGUAAAGUUAAUACCUUGGCUCAUUGACGUUACCCGCAGAAGAAGCACCGGCUAACUCCGUG